Molecule: long non-coding RNA, 1474 nt
Organism: Helianthus annuus (common sunflower)
Lineage: Eukaryota; Viridiplantae; Streptophyta; Magnoliopsida; Asterales; Asteraceae
Exons: 2
Source: RefSeq, a predicted model, not a curated record
AACCGACUCGAUAUGAACCGAAUUUUUUUUAUAUACCAAUGGGCCUAAAAUCCAUAAAAAUACCCCGCACCCCCAUGAAAAAGUUUCUGGAUCCGUCACUGGGAUGAGGAUCUUUCUUUCGGCAACAUAGGUUCAAGAUUGUAUGUGGUUGUCGUAAAGGAUGGGGGUGGUGUAUGAACAUUCAUGGAUAAAAGGAGGUACGGUUAUUCUUGUGUUCAGUGGCCGUUGUUAUCAUGAUUGGCAGAUAGGGUUUUUGUUUCAAGGUCCUCUAUUAUCACUGACAAUAAUUCUAGCAUUGUUCUUCCACUACAUUUUUUUUAUUCUUAACAUCCACCACUUCUGAUUUCUCCAUGGAAUGGUUUAAAAAAAGGCCUGUUGUUUCUGUCUCAAACGUGAAGUGGGGGAUUGGUAUUCGGUUUGCGAUUCAAGAUGAAUGGUAGCGAUGGCUCGAGAUGUGUUAGCGGUGGCGCCGGAGACGGCGGCAGCGGCGAUGGACGGCGGCGUUGGGAUGCUGGUGAAGAAGAAAAGAACGGCGUGUACGAGGAGUUGGAUUCUGAUCGAUGCUGGAUGAGGAUAGUACGAGAUUGUCUUAUACCGGAGUUUGUUCUGUUCUCGUUACUCACCAGAGUUCAUAAUCGGAGGUAGGGUGGUGUUCAUUGAUUUUGGAUUUGGUUGUUAAUAAUGAUGAAGAUCGGGUUCCUUCUGAGAACCCUAGGAGACGUAGAUGAAGAUCAAUCAUGAAAAAUUUGAGAAAAGCAAACCGAUGCAUCAGGUUGUUCAACUCUCGUUCACUUCGAUACCACCGGUGGACAACUUCCGGUGAUGUCGGCUGAAAGUUUUGUUGAUGCAGUUGACGGCUGGAUUUCUUUGUAGCUAGGGUUUGCACAUGAAAGGUUUGAAUGGGCUAGGUAUGAGGCCCAAUGAUUACAUUAUCAUUUCAAGCAUGUUGGAAUGUUCUGGGGCCCACUUAAGCUUGACGGUUGUGUCUACUAAAAUAUGAGAUAUAGGAGGGUCUACCUUUGCGGGGGAAAACGACAAUGAAGAUUUUGGGUAUUUAGCCGAUUUGUGAAGAUUCGAAGACGACAUCAGAUUUAUUUUUGAAGAUCAUUUGAAGAAUUGAUAGCAUCAUUCUCGGGGGAAUAUUGUUGGGACAAAUUAGAGAAUGAUGUUAUCAAUUAUGGCGACCUUAGUUAGCGAUGUUAUAAUUUGUAUGAGGUAGCGAGUUUUAAUUGUGAUAGUCGUUUGUUUUAUGGAGUUUAGGAGGUUUUCCAAGCAAGAGGCGGCUUGCUUGGAAAACAAGGCUCAGGGUCUAUAAAUAGAAUACUAGACACCACUUUUUAGGGGUGCAUUUGGGAACCCCCACCUCGGGGGAGCUCACCCGGGGUGGAUCAUUAUCUUUUGUAUUUGUUCAUCACUAUCAUUCAAAAUAGCUUUGUUCCAAUCCUUAAAGUUUAUAUCUUUAUUGUUUAUUAUC